This 67-nucleotide ribosomal RNA is filed under the name uncultured Clavariaceae. RNAcentral's name for it is "partial 5.8S ribosomal RNA". It matches the Rfam family "5.8S ribosomal RNA", at positions 49 to 115 of the family's 154-position model. From Rfam's summary of the family: 5.8S ribosomal RNA (5.8S rRNA) is a component of the large subunit of the eukaryotic ribosome. It is transcribed by RNA polymerase I as part of the 45S precursor that also contains 18S and 28S rRNA. The record is from RNAcentral. Lineage: Eukaryota; Fungi; Basidiomycota; Agaricomycetes; Agaricales; Clavariaceae.
CGAAUUGCGAUAUGUCCUGUGAAUUNCAGAAUUCAGUGAAUCAUCGAAUCUUUGAACGCACCUUGCA